Molecule: long non-coding RNA, 787 nt
Organism: Momordica charantia (bitter melon)
Lineage: Eukaryota; Viridiplantae; Streptophyta; Magnoliopsida; Cucurbitales; Cucurbitaceae
Source: RefSeq, a predicted model, not a curated record
UAGGGUUCCACUAGCCUUAAAUGCCUAACCAUCUCUCUCUCUCUCUCCCCUCCAUUUUUAUUUUCUCUCUCCAUUUUCUUCUUCUCUCUCAUGGCGGUGGGCGCUUCCGUUUUUUUGGUUCAGUCAUCGGCGCUCUCUAAUUCGCUUGGUGCAGGUCGGGAACUGCUUCGCUUUUUGUUGCUCUUCGUUUGAUUCAGCUCUUUAAUUUCCCUGCCGUAGGAGGGGAAAAUCGGGCGAAUUGGAUCCCGCCUUGCAUCAACUGAAUCCGAGACCGCGGUGAAGAUUGCAUGGAUCUCGCGUCUUUUACACCCGAUGCAGUUUCUUCAAGAGGCUCUUUGGAAGAGUAAAAAGAAGCCCAAUAUAGACCCACUUGAUAAUUCACAUAUUGGGGUGUUGUGCUUAUGUGAAGAUUAUUUUAAUAGGAAAAGGAGUAUGAGACGAUUGAGCAAGAUUAUUUUAAUUUGUUCUCAAGGAAGGGCUCGGAGAGUUUGCUUCGACACGGAAAUGAAGACUUUUGAGAACAAAUAUUUGGACCGGAAAAAAAGGGGAUGAAGUCAGAGCACAUAUGUCACGAAAAGGAAAUUUGAUUUCGGUAAGACUUGAUCUGAAUCGUAGUUCAGAUUCAAGUCGGUUCAAUGAGGGUGACAGCGAAAGUCACCAAAUGGGUUAGUCUUUUCCUUCCGUUUGUCCUACAAUAUAGAAAAUUGUUCAGUUUGUUGCAUUAGGAUUUUUUUUAAUGAUGUUGAUGAAGAUAAAAAUCUAUAUGAGAUAUGGUUUUUAGUGAAAA